RNAcentral lists this ribosomal RNA (814 nucleotides) under uncultured Actinomycetes bacterium. RNAcentral's name for it is "bacterial SSU rRNA". It matches the Rfam family "Bacterial small subunit ribosomal RNA", at positions 335 to 1167 of the family's 1533-position model. The record is from RNAcentral. Lineage: Bacteria; Bacillati; Actinomycetota; Actinomycetes.
ACUCCUACGGGAGGCAGCAGUGGGGAAUAUUGCACAAUGGGGGAAACCCUGAUGCAGCGACGCCGCGUGCGGGAUGAAGGCCUUCGGGUUGUAAACCGCUUUCAGCAGGGGCGAAUCAAGACGGUACCUGCAGAAGAAGCGCCGGCUAACUACGUGCCAGCAGCCGCGGUAAUACGUAGGGCGCGAGCGUUGUCCGGAAUUAUUGGGCGUAAAGAGCUCGUAGGCGGCCUGUUGCGUCCGCUGUGAAAUCCCGGGGCUUAACCCCGGGCGUGCAGUGGAUACGGGCAGGCUAGAGGCAGGCAGGGGAGAACGGAAUUCCCGGUGUAGCGGUGAAAUGCGCAGAUAUCGGGAGGAACACCGGUGGCGAAGGCGGUUCUCUGGGCCUGUACUGACGCUGAGGAGCGAAAGCGUGGGGAGCGAACAGGAUUAGAUACCCUGGUAGUCCACGCCGUAAACGUUGGGCGCUAGGUGUGGGUCCCUUCCACGGGGUCUGUGCCGCAGCUAACGCAUUAAGCGCCCCGCCUGGGGAGUACGGCCGCAAGGCUAAAACUCAAAGAAAUUGACGGGGGCCCGCACAAGCGGCGGAGCAUGUUGCUUAAUUCGACGCAACGCGAAGAACCUUACCAAGGUUUGACAUGGGCCGNAAACUCGCAGAGAUGCGGGGUCCUUCGGGGCGGUUCACAGGUGGUGCAUGGCUGUCGUCAGCUCGUGUCGUGAGAUGUUGGGUUAAGUYCCGCAMCGAGCGCAACCCUCGUCCAAUGUUGCCAGCGGGUAAUGCCGGGGACUCAUUGGAGACUGCCGGGGUCAACUCGGA